AGACGCCGGGGCCCGCCAUCCCCAACGUCCACCGCGAGCUCCCUAGAUCCAUGGUCUGGAGCAGGUCCAGAAGACGCACCUGGCAGGACGCCCCGGGCGCCACAGUCGCCGUCCCCACGGGCCACCCCAAUCCUGCCGCGGCUCCGUGGCUCUCCUUACCUUUACCUGAGGUGAAGCAAGGACGUGGAAGCAGCCACGGCGCGCUACCAAACACCUCACACCGCUCUCAACAGUACUGCUCAGCCUCCCGGCCCGCCGAUGCGCAGGCGACAGCAGCCAACUUGAUGCUCUUCACUUCUUACAAAUUGGCAUGCCAGGCUGCUGCUCAGGUGAUCUGCCUCUUGGACCGGCUCUGAAAGUGGGACAGUGAUCAGUGCAAGAUCCCUGAGAUGCUGAGACACGAUGGGAUGGAGGAAAGCUAUGGGACAAGUGGCCUUUCAUAGGAGGAGGAGCUCCUUGUCAAAUGUGAGGAGCGAAGCAGGACAGGAGCAUGAGAACAGGAAGCCAGAAGUUAUGGGGACACUCAAGCAGCAUUAGGGAGAGGCUCAUGAGUAGAAGAACUGAGGCAUCCUGCAAACAGCCAUGGACUAACCUGUAUUGGGAGCAGAUUCUCCAGCUCCACGUCUGUUCCUUAGUCUCUGUUGAGGUGAAACUCCAAUAUCUGAACCCACCAGCCAAAUAAGCAACCUGUGUACAAGCCAAGUUAAAAUUUCACUCCCGUAAUGGAUGAGGAGAAACCAGAAGACAUUUCUCAUGCACAGGGAGUGCGUGAAUCCCCUGAAUUGCCAGGUUUCAGGGUCACAUGAGACCUCUAGAAGGCUCCGCUCAUCAUCACCUUAUCAUCUGCUGAUAAUACCUAUUCUAACGAAGGAGGGAGAGGAGUAAUGCACAAGAAACUCAGGCCAAUGGGGGAGCAAGAAGAAAACGAAGAAGUGCAGUGCAUGCGUCAUCGGUGUUUAACAGUCAGAAGCGAAACAGUUCAGAACAAGGCCUGCCCUGUCAAAAGAAGAGCUAAAGACAGUUAUAUAAAAAUUAAGAAUAACUCAAUCUCAGUGUGACUACUGAUCCGCCGCCACGUGGCUUCCCGGACACACUGCUGCAGCGCCAACAGUGGAGAGGAGCUCUCCAUCACAACCAGACAGCAGAAGCACAGCACAGUGAAGCACACCUGCCCACAUGAUGCACAAUAAAGGUAUUAAUUUACAACAGAUGGAUUUUAUGCCCUGUACAGGUAUGAACACAGUGAAGAUGUGACGAUGGUCUCUCUUUUAGCUGAACUCUGGAGUUUUAAUUACUGACAUUUUCUUGGAAGAAAUUAUCCUUUGUGGUUUUAAAACGUGGGCUUUUUUUUUUUUUUUGCUCAAGUCACAUGUUCUAAUAAGACAGUUUUAAUAAGCCAGUUUGACUAGAUGUAAAGUAAAGUACUUGGAUUAAAGUGAUAAUCUUACUUUGUGGCCUAUAAAUUAACACAUCUGAAUUUCUUUUUAAGAAUUCAGAAACCAGUAACUUCCAAACAACUUGAAAUUGAAUAAAUAUUUUCAGCAACCCAGGGGUGAACUAAAUGCAACAGAUUAUUCAACUUUAAAAAGUAAGUAAGUACUUACUGUACGGUAAGUAAGUACUGUACAGAUUUUCCAUAUUAAACAUCUGGUAUGCCUCAAUUUUUUACUUAAAAGUCUCGGACUUUGAGAGCAUACAGCAUUUUUUGCACGUAUAUAACCAUGAUGUACUUUAAUACUCCAAUCUUAGGUUGUGAUUUUAGAGGUGGUUUUGCUAUCAUUAAAUACCAAUGGGACCAAACCAGAAAAUUAAUAAAAAUAUAAUUCACCACUCACACACCCUUAAGGGUCUAGAUUCAAUUUCCAAAAGCAUAAUAUUGGGUAGUUACUUGCAGUUGUGAAAAUAAUUUCAAUCUUGGAAUCUUGGUACACAAUCCCAAAAUUUAAAAAAAAAAGGAAAUCCACUGUAAUCCCAGUGUCUUUAAAAUAAUGCUGCCAGCCCGACUCCACCUCACCCCACAGUCAACCAGUUACCAUGGUUCAGGAUAGGACAAACUUAGGUUUUGGACAAAUGAAGAGUUCAAUGGCUGUUAAUUGUCACAGGCAAGAAAAGAAGGAAAACCAAAAGUUGAUAAAUGUUAACUCAACAAUUAUAGUCUUUACACAGCUUGCCUUAAAACUGCUCCAGUUCAGACUUACUCUGUUCAAAAGUGAAUAUACAGAACGUUAGUGUAUCUCUCUAUUUAAAUCUCAGUCUCAGUACUAAUCUUCUACCUCCAUGAAACAUACACAACAAAACAAAAGGAAGAGCUAGGGAUUUGGGAAGAGGCACUUCCAGAAAAAAAGAAAGUGACGAUUAUUUCAGAUUUGAAUUUACCAUUUUUACCAUUUUUUCUGUUUCAAGGUCCCAGAUAAUAUACAUUUCUUCAUUCAUUAUUCAUUUUCUGAGUGCCUACUAUGGCUGGAGUACUCUAUUCGAUUUUAAGCUUAGAGAGAGAUUGAAACAGAAAACAGAAACAGUCCCUGCCCAUCUCACCCUUCAUUAACUUGCUGUGUGGAAGACAAGCAUACAGACUGGACCCUCAUGAGGCAGUGGUAGUAGGGCCCACAGGGAGGUGUGCUACUGAAGCACCCUGAGGGCCUGGAGCCCAACAUGCCCGUGGAGAGAGAUGCUCCUGAGGAGACAGAGUUCUGUGCGUUCUCCCUAUGGAGUCCUGCAUUUACUAGAUUUCAAUCCUCUUCCCCUGACUGAUUUCAAUCCACACACCCUCCCACUAUUUUUUUUUUUAAAUAAUAGGCUUUCUGCCCCAACUAAAGGAAUUUUAGGCUUCUGCAACAAGUGGAGGAGGCAUUUUGAAGAUGGGACACAAAGAAGUCUUCUUUCUCCAGAUCCAGAAGUCAGGCCUUGUAAGAAUUCAAGCCAAAAAAAGUUCAUCCAUGGGAAAAACGGUUCUUCUAUCAUCCAGCACGGAUUUGUGCCAACAGAGCUGAGGGACUUGAGUAAUUCAAGAGGCUAGGGGUUGGGGGGCAGAUGUGUCCAGUGGCUCCCACAGCCCCGCCGUCCUGAAAGUCACGCCAGUUAAUGUGCCUCGGGGUGGAUCAGCCCUCCCGACAGAUGACUACUAGGAAAUUAAUCCCCAGUUAAUAAUGUGCUUUGGACCAAGUAAGUGAAGAUUAUUUUUCCUACAAUUAUACAAAGAUACGCUUUUCCAGAAGGGAACUUCUGGAAAAAGAACAAAUAACACUAUGCUUAAAAUAUUAUUCACAUAUUUAGAGAAGAAAGAACUUAAAAUAGCAGAAGACCUGAAUACCAUGAUCCACGGUGCCCACCCCUGGGAGCAUGACUUUGUGUGGGACAAGACCUAGCACAGCAGGGCUGGCUUUCUAAGGGUACGGUGAGGCACCACUGAACUCAUCAAGGAACUAUGCCUAGUCUUGCCCCUCUGGUUUAUGUCACCAGUAUCAAAGAGAGAGGACCUCUGGAUGCCUGAAUGAGGCAAGAACUAAUGUGAAGGCUAUACUUUGCUUUGUUUUCAUAUCUUGCCCUCAGCUGCCUUAAGAGAAUUAUGCCCUGAUCUGGCACAGUGAUGAAUGUCUAUGGUUAUACUGCUGCUGCCGCUGGUGUGCUGCUGGUGAGGUGGUGGGGUGUGGGUGUCUUUUAAGGAAAGCGCUACUAUUUUAGCUCUCUUCCACUCCAGCUCUACAAAUCAGUGCAAGUCUAGUUCAGGCAGGGUCAAACCAUUUUGUUCACCUACUUUCCUGCCAGUGAUUUCAACCUUGACCUUCAAAAAUGCUCUGCAAGAUUAAAAGUGAUUUAAGAUUGUUUUCUUUCAGUGCAAACUGCCAGUUGAUACAACCUCUUCAGUUUCUGCCUGCCAGUAUAAGAUAGGGAAUUGUUGAGACUAUUUAGUGUAAAUAAAAUAAUUUCUUAAACAUUGAAAUACCAGUAACAGCUGGGGGAGGACUCACCAUUAGUCAAUUACACUUAUGAAACUUUCAAAUAGAAAUUUUAUUUUCAGUGGAUUCUGUUUUUCUUUCUUAACUGCAAAAUCAGCAAGUCAUUGGUUAAAAAGUAUACUCUUCCCGCUUGAAGUCAAGUAAGUAUUUACCCUAAGAGGCAAAGUCCAGUAUCUACAGUAAAAACUGACCUGACCUUUGGUAUUCCACAAGGGCCUGAACUUCCAUUCCAUUCCCAGUGCUGGAUGUGGAGAAUGGGUGGUCCCAAGCAACAAUCAUUUGCCUUUCUGUCAAAAGCUGUCUCGGUUUAAAUGUACUGUAUUUUCUCUGCCUCUUCUUCUCAUCGGAACAUGUUCUAGUCUACUCGCCAGGUGCUACUUCUGGCAGUCAGAAAUAGUGCCACUUUUCAACUUCAAGUUUCUUACCAACCUUUUUUGCAUUCAUGCACAGCAAGAGUUCAUGAAAUAGCUGCAAAGUGCUGGACACUGUUAGGUUCUGGGAAUUGCAAGAGAAACAGAGUUUCUGCCUUCUAGAUGCUCAAGUCUGGGGGUGGGGCAGGUACAGCAGGGGUGAUCAAUCCACAAAAAUUUACUUUUAAAAAUGUGUUAUGGGCUGACUUGUAUCACCUCAAAAUUCAUAUGGGGAAGUCCUAACCACCAAUACCUCAGAAUGUGAUUGGAUUUGGAAACAGGAUCUUUACAGAGGCAAUUAAGUUAAAAUAAGGACAUCAGGGUGGGCCCUAAUCUCAAGUGACCCAUGUCCUUCUAAGAAGAGAUUAGGACACAGAUACACAGAGGAAAGACCAUAUGAAGACACGGGGAGAAGACAGCCAUCUACAAGCCGAGAAGGGAGGCCUCAGAAGAAACCAACCCUGCCAACAUCUUGAUCUCAGACUUCCAGCCUCCAGAUUGUUAGAAAAUAAAUUUCUGUUGUUUAAGCUGCCCAGUCUGUGGCACUUUGUUAUGGCAGCCCUCGCAAACUAAACACAGUGUGCUUUUUAAGGGCAACAACAAAAAAGAAAUAUAUAGGUUAAGUCAAAUGUAAUAGCUGCUGGAACAUCUAUCAACAGACUAAACAACAAACAAAACCAACAUUUAGCAUAAUAUCCAGUAGUGCUGUCAACAAAGGAAAUGGGGGUGGCAGUGAGCACAUCUGGGAGGGCAUUUGAUGGCUGUCAGAAUCAGCCAAGGAAGAUAGAAGGGUGAGGGAUAAGUGCAGAAUAAGCUCCAUGCAGGCAAGUGGCCCUGUAGCCAGGUCUCCCUGCAGCUCCUAGGGGCCACAGCAGUAACAAGACCCACAUGAACCCAUGAGUUUCUGUGCCCUCAGUUUUCUAACUAACUAGUUCAGAAUAUUAGGAACUGACAAUGACCCUAUCACUGAAGCUUUUGAGUGCUGAUAAUAUGAGGGUCAGAAAACUGGUAAGCUGAUCUAGCUAUCUAGAGUCCAUCUGUGCUUGCUGAACUGUAAAGCUGCCCAUUCUUCUUGGUGCUCAUCAACUGACACUCCAAACAUGGACACGUGGCUGAUACUGCAUUCCAUUCAUUCAUUGUCUGAAUUCAAGUUUGUGUUUUUCAUGAAGGCCAAUUAAAUUAACUUUCUUUUUGACACUUCA
Molecule: non-coding RNA, 5568 nt
Filed under: Pan troglodytes (chimpanzee)
Lineage: Eukaryota; Metazoa; Chordata; Mammalia; Primates; Hominidae
Source: RNAcentral